AGUCUUGGCGGAAGCCUGAGACGCAGUAGAUGGAGGCUCUCCCUUUCGCCUUGGCGUACUCCGUUUUUUUCCUUCCUGGAGCUGGUCUUGCGGGGCAGCCCUAAAAUGUAUAUCCAAGUGACUUGCACUCAGCACUUGCUGUCUUGAGCUUACUUUCCUCGUUCGUAGAAUGGAGAUACCACACUUUCUGAAGUGCUUAUGAGACUUGCAGGAGGUAAGUAUGCAGCAGGUUUUGAUGACUGUAGCCUAAUGCUUACUUACUAUAGGGUUUAAUGUGCCUUCUAAAUGCUUUAAUGUAUUAACAAGUGCUUAAUUCUUACAAUUCUGAAUUAAGUACUACUAUUAUUCCCGUUUCAAAGAUAGGACCUUGAGGUCCACAGAGGUUAAAUAAGGGUCACACAACUAGUAAGUGACAGAGCAGGGACGUGCACCUAGGUCAUACUGUGCAAAGCCCUUGCACAUAACCAGCACCUCCUCAACCGUAGCCACGAAAAGCUUCGUCCCUAUGUGGUACAACAAACUGUGUCAUUGUUGAGCCCUAAAAGGAAAAGGCAACGUUAAUAUUUGCAGAUGACAGGAACCCUUGAAAAUCUAGGUGCCUCAAUUUUAAAAUUGAGUGCAAUAAUAAAGCUUAACUCAGUAGAAGAAUAACCAGAAUUAUUUGAAUAAGCAAAAACGUAUUAAAAAAUGAAAUAAUAUUUUCUCCACAAUGGCAACAGAAACCAUAAAAGAUUUAGGAAUAAACUUCAACAAGUUACACAAUCUUUAUUAUAAACCUUUACUGAAAAGGCAGUAAUAAGGCCCUAGUAAAUGUAAAACAUGUUGUAUUCUUAGAUGAGUAGUCAGUAUCAAAAAUAUUGUCAAUUCUUCCCAAGUCAAAUUACAAAAUUAGUGCAAUUCUCAUGAGAGUCCCAAAUUCUCUUGGGGAUAUGUGUUUUAGAACUAAUUAAUUUUAAGUUUUAUGUGGAAGAUCACAUAAUUAUCAAGAAAACUUGGAAACAAGAGAAGUGUAUUAGUCUGUGUGGACUGCUGUAACAAAAUACCAUAAACUAGGCAGCUUAUAAAUAACAAAUUUAUUUCUCACGGUUCUGAAAGUUGGAAAUCCAAGAUCCAGGUGCCGGCCGAUCUGGUCGCUGGUGAGGACCCAGAGAUUUACAGAUGACUCACAGAAGGCACCUACUCACAGUGCCCUCACGUGACAGAAGGGGCGAGCUAGCUCUCUGAGCUGUCUUUCAGUGGCACUUCUAGGAUCUGAAAGUUUGUGUUCCCUCAAAUUCAUAUGUUGAAACCUAAUCACCAGUGCAAUAGUAUUAAAAGCUGGGGCUUUGGGAUAUUGAUUAGGUUAUGAGGGCUCUAACCUCAUAACUGGAAUUAGUGCCUAUCUCAGUCCAUUCCCACUGCUAUAACAGAAUACUUUAGACUGAGUGAUUUAUAAAUAAUAGACAUUAUUUCUCAGAGUUCUGAAGGCUAGGAAGUCCAAGAUAAAGGUACCAGCAGAUUCAGUGUCUGAUAAGGGCUUGCUAUCUGCUUCCAAGACAGUGCCUUGUUGCUGGGUCCACAGAAGGGGACGAACACUGUAUCCUCACAUGAGGGAAGAGAUGGGAGGCAAAAGGGCAAAAAAAAAAAAAAAAAAA
Molecule: long non-coding RNA, 1634 nt
Filed under: Macaca mulatta (Rhesus monkey)
Lineage: Eukaryota; Metazoa; Chordata; Mammalia; Primates; Cercopithecidae
Description: lncRNA (ENSMMUG00000058397.1)
Source: RNAcentral